CCAAUAGCGUAUAUUAAAGUUGUUGCAGUUAAAAAGCUCGUAGUUGAAUUUCGGGGUUAGUAGGUUGGUCAUGCCUCUGGUAUGUACUGGUGUUACUGAUUCCUACCUUCUGACGAACCAUCAUGUCAUUAAUUUGGUGUGGUGGGGAAUCAGGACUGUUACUUUGAAAAAAUUAGAGUGUUUAAAGCAGGCUCGCGCUUGAAUACAUUAGCAUGGAAUAAUGAAAUAGGACGUUGACCCUAUUUUGUUGGUUUCUAGGAUUGACGUAAUGAUUAAUAGGGAUAGUUGGGGGCAUUAGUAUUCAAUUGUCAGAGGUGAAAUUCUUGGAUUUAUUGAAGACUAACUACUGCGAAAGCAUUUGCCAAGGAUGUUUUCAUUAAUCAAGAACGAAAGUUAGGGGAUCGAAGACGAUCAGAUACCGUCGUAGUCUUAACCAUAAACUAUGCCGACUAGGGAUCGGAUGAUGUUAAUUUUUUAAUGACUCAUUCGGCGCCUUACG
Molecule: ribosomal RNA, 499 nt
Filed under: uncultured Glomeromycotina
Lineage: Eukaryota; Fungi; Glomeromycota
Description: SSU rRNA
Rfam family: Eukaryotic small subunit ribosomal RNA
Source: RNAcentral